CCUACGGGCGGCAGCAGUAGGGAAUCUUCCACAAUGGGCGCAAGCCUGAUGGAGCAACGCCGCGUGGGUGAAGAAGGUCUUCGGAUCGGAAAACCCUGUUGUUAGAGAAGAAAGUGCGUGCGAGUAACUGUUCACGUGUCGACGGUAUCUAACCAGAAAGCCACGGCUAACUACGUGCCAGCAGCAGCGGUAAUACGUAGGGGGCAAGCGUUAUCCGGAUUUAUUGGGCGUAAAGGGAACGCAGGCGGUCUUUUAAGUCUGAUGUGAAAGCCUUCGGCUUAACCGGAGUAGUGCAUUGGAAACUGGGAGACGUGAGUGCAGAAGAGGAGAGUGGAACUCAAUGUGUAGCGGUGAAAUGCGUAGAUAUAUGGAAGAACACCAGUGGCGAAAGCGGCUCUCCGGUCUGUAACUGACGCUGAGGUUCGAAAGCGUGGGUAGCAAACAGGAUUAGAUACCCGGGUAGUC
RNAcentral lists this ribosomal RNA (465 nucleotides) under uncultured bacterium. Its description in RNAcentral is "partial 16S ribosomal RNA". It matches the Rfam family "Bacterial small subunit ribosomal RNA", at positions 338 to 795 of the family's 1533-position model. The record is from RNAcentral.